GAUUGCAGACUACAAUUUAGCCAAACGACACGUGAAACGUUUUUUCCUUGUUUAACUUUUGAGAUUGCCAGUUAAUAUUAAUACUAGAAAUCAGAGAUAAAAACCUACUAGGAAACAGUUUUUGCACUUCUCAACGGACUCUCUACUAUUUUGGCAAAUUGGAUAUACCCUGUCGUUGCUGCUGGCGCUGGCGAAGACAUUGGUCCGGAUUGGAUUCCAUCGAAUGCUCCCGAUUCUGGCCGUGUGCUUUCGCCUCUCGAGCAAACGACAUCCGUCCUCGCCAUUCCACAGGAUCAGCGUUCCGUUUUGAGGCACCUGGUAUAGAAAAUCCGCACUACUUCAUGGAAUCCGAUUUAUCACGUCGUCUGCUUCAUUCACGAGUGGAAUUGUUGUUGUUGGAGAUUGGUGAACGGAGACUACGUCGGGAGGAUCCAAUCCCAUAGCCAUACAGAUACUUUUUUUUAACUUUGCUUGCCAAUUCCUUCAAAUUAUUGUUUUUGAUUGUAUGACAUAUUUGCUUUUAUCAAAAUUUAUGUUAAAAGGGUCCAUUAUUUUGAAUGAAAUGAUUUCUUGUAUGUUAAAUGAUGUUUAUUUGAGAGACUUCCUCAUUCAAAUGAGUAAUAGUGUUAAAUAUUCAUUGAAUCUACAGUAAGAUCAAAGUGAAUAAAUAGUGGAAAGCAAAAAGGUAUGAAAAAGUCAAAAAGCAAAAAAAUAGUAAGCAAAUGCACCAUUUUUUGAAAAGAACCGCGUCAUUUAUUGUUUUUCAGACACCUAGUAGAGGAAUUUUGUACUGCUUAUUAAAUCAUGCUGUGAUCUUUUGUCGUCUGCGUUCCUCGUGGCUUUCACCUCACGUUUCACUAUUUUGUCGGCGGUGUAUUGCUCUGUUAAUGGUCGAAAUAUAGAAAAGUGAGAUUGCUUUGAUCUUCUUAUGACUGUUAGUGAAAUAUUUUUUAUUUCGACUUUAAAAUAGAGAAGAAACAAAAAAGUUGUUAGAGUACAGAGUGCAUCAACAAUUUUUGAGUUUGUACGUCAUUUCUGAUACUCAUCCUCAAACCGAAAGAUAUCAACAGGCAAUGAGACAGAAGUGAAGCUGCUACAUAAAUAAGUAGGAAAAGAUGUGCACAAACAUUGAGUUGGUACCCUUUCAACAACGGACCCAAUGACCAACUGAGCUUUGAGACCAAGUCUUUUAUGAAAUAAAAAACUACUUCAGCGCAAUUACCAGUGUCAAGCUGAGUUAAAAUCAGAAACGACAACUUGAAAUAUUCCAUAUCAUCAAGGCGUUGAUACCAGUAGUUGAGAUGAAGAAUCACUGCUUUUGCAAUUACAGUAGAGAAAUAAUGGAAAUAAAAGGUGGACGAUGCUAAAUUUCGUCGAUUGACCGCCCAUAUUCAAAUCGUGCAUCAAUCUGAUGCCCUUGCCAAUGAAAGUGAAGCGGCGACAGGGAUCAGCAUCAGCGGCCCUAUCUUUAAAAGUUAUCUCCAAAUCAACAGCAGCUGCCGAGUGGUCCUUGGAUCGCGAAGUUACUUGCCAGUUUAGUGUCGCCUAUACGCCAAUUAUUUCUUUGGUCGACUGCGUUACAUCGGAGUCUCAACAUCCCCGCGAUUAGUUGCCGGAAGGAACACAGAUAUCCUACAGGGAGAUUGAGUCUUUAGUAGAUUGGUCUUAGUUCGCCCCCAGUUAAUCUGGCUGAACAAAUUGAGUCGCAGCAGGAAACUUCUUGUGAUUUUUCCAUGGAAAUAGAUAUGGAAUUCGAUGACAUGUUGCAGAGUUUAGAUCGUGGACCGAAUCAUUCAUUUGGCUGAAGAAGAUGUCGGUUCUCUCGGAUGACUCGGCGUAAUAACUCACACAUCUUGUCCAGGAGCAACUCACUCCCACCAUUUGGGGGUCCAAAAUUCCGCUGAAUUCAUGUAGAAGGAUCGAUGCGAACGUUGUUCACCCUUUCAUUCGUGGCGCCAUUUGUGAAUACCAAUUAUGUAUAGGAAGAGAUGGAUACUUUGCACGAAAAUUCAUGGCGGAAAAUCCGACCAGUAGUGUAUGCCGGAUGAGCCAAAUAAGAGAUCUUCACUUGACUUACGGUUCAUCAUUUGGGCUCGUCAAGUUGCGAGGCAGCAACGUGCCUACAACAUACCUAAAUGAAGGGAGUUGAACAUAUCGAAAUUAGGGCUGGGAGAACCCUGUCAAAAUUUUCGAAGAUAAAAAACAGGAGGUUAGCUGAUCCUGGACGUUACCCAAACAAGGAUGGUGAAGCAGUCUCGUCCUGUCUUCUUUUCCAAUUGCUGACUCUCUAAGAAGAACAUCCCAGUGAAUCGACAUGGCCGUUCAGUUACAUGUCAACCGGAUUUUUCACAGGACUUUUUCAGCCGCAACGUUGGUGGACGAUAACCCUGGGACAGGUCAAGCUGAAUUAGCCACAUAGGGCAAACCUCCAAGAAAAAACAUCAAACAAAUAGAAAACAAAUCAUAUUGUUGGAAAAUGUCUAGUGAACCGUAUUCUAGGAAUAAGCCGGGUGCAUUAUCUACGCUAUCUCCAAAUAACCUAACAAGGUGAUAAUGAUGAUAAUGAUUGAAUGAUUGACAUGAUUUUGGAAUUAGACCCCCCCCCCCCUUCUCCACAAACAUGAAGCAACAUUUGAAAUUAUCACUUCCACUUACUUACAUGAGUUUACUUGCAUUAUUGUGAGAUGAUGUUGUCAAGCCACCGUCUUCACAAGGAUUAAAGGGGGAAGAGAGACAAAAUAACUUUCAAGGCUGUUCGCUACCAAACGAUGGUGAGUUCAAAUUGGGUCAAUAAAGGAUACUCCUCCCUUAUUCAAUUUGCUCUAUUUUCAUCUGACCUCGAAUACUUAAAAAUACCUCCAGCGUUGUUGCUGCGGGGAAUCGACGUGCCGGUGGGCAUUCUAGGGGCCCAAAAAUGCUCAGUAGUCCACGUAUUCGCACGG
Long non-coding RNA from Daphnia pulex (common water flea), 2942 nucleotides. RefSeq lists it as uncharacterized. The record is from RefSeq and is a predicted model, not a curated record. The transcript has 13 exons. Lineage: Eukaryota; Metazoa; Arthropoda; Branchiopoda; Diplostraca; Daphniidae.